GACGAACGCUGGCGGCGUGCUUAACACAUGCAAGUCGAACGGAAAGGCCCUGCUUUUGUGGGGUGCUCGAGUGGCGAACGGGUGAGUAACACGUGAGUAACCUGCCCUUGACUUUGGGAUAACUUCAGGAAACUGGGGCUAAUACCGGAUAGGAGCUCCUGCUGCAUGGUGGGGGUUGGAAAGUUUCGGCGGUUGGGGAUGGACUCGCGGCUUAUCAGCUUGUUGGUGGGGUAGUGGCUUACCAAGGCUUUGACGGGUAGCCGACCUGAGAGGGUGACCGGCCACAUGGGGACUGAGAUACGGCCCAGACUCCUACGGGAGGCAGCAGUGGGGAAUAUUGCACAAUGGGCGGAAGCCUGAUGCAGCAACGCCGCGUGCGGGAUGACGGCCUUCGGGUUGUAAACCGCUUUCGCCUGUGACGAAGCGUGAGUGACGGUAAUGGGUAAAGAAGCACCGGCUAACUACGU
RNAcentral lists this ribosomal RNA (467 nucleotides) under uncultured bacterium. RNAcentral describes it as "partial 16S ribosomal RNA". It matches the Rfam family "Bacterial small subunit ribosomal RNA", at positions 28 to 506 of the family's 1533-position model. The record is from RNAcentral.